This 1492-nucleotide ribosomal RNA is filed under the name Salmonella enterica subsp. enterica serovar Kentucky. RNAcentral's name for it is "16S ribosomal RNA". It matches the Rfam family "Bacterial small subunit ribosomal RNA". Lineage: Bacteria; Pseudomonadati; Pseudomonadota; Gammaproteobacteria; Enterobacterales; Enterobacteriaceae. The record is from RNAcentral.
AAAUUGAAGAGUUUGAUCAUGGCUCAGAUUGAACGCUGGCGGCAGGCCUAACACAUGCAAGUCGAACGGUAACAGGAAGCAGCUUGCUGCUUUGCUGACGAGUGGCGGACGGGUGAGUAAUGUCUGGGAAACUGCCUGAUGGAGGGGGAUAACUACUGGAAACGGUGGCUAAUACCGCAUAACGUCGCAAGACCAAAGAGGGGGACCUUCGGGCCUCUUGCCAUCAGAUGUGCCCAGAUGGGAUUAGCUUGUUGGUGAGGUAACGGCUCACCAAGGCGACGAUCCCUAGCUGGUCUGAGAGGAUGACCAGCCACACUGGAACUGAGACACGGUCCAGACUCCUACGGGAGGCAGCAGUGGGGAAUAUUGCACAAUGGGCGCAAGCCUGAUGCAGCCAUGCCGCGUGUAUGAAGAAGGCCUUCGGGUUGUAAAGUACUUUCAGCGGGGAGGAAGGUGUUGUGGUUAAUAACCACAGCAAUUGACGUUACCCGCAGAAGAAGCACCGGCUAACUCCGUGCCAGCAGCCGCGGUAAUACGGAGGGUGCAAGCGUUAAUCGGAAUUACUGGGCGUAAAGCGCACGCAGGCGGUCUGUCAAGUCGGAUGUGAAAUCCCCGGGCUCAACCUGGGAACUGCAUUCGAAACUGGCAGGCUUGAGUCUUGUAGAGGGGGGUAGAAUUCCAGGUGUAGCGGUGAAAUGCGUAGAGAUCUGGAGGAAUACCGGUGGCGAAGGCGGCCCCCUGGACAAAGACUGACGCUCAGGUGCGAAAGCGUGGGGAGCAAACAGGAUUAGAUACCCUGGUAGUCCACGCCGUAAACGAUGUCUACUUGGAGGUUGUGCCCUUGAGGCGUGGCUUCCGGAGCUAACGCGUUAAGUAGACCGCCUGGGGAGUACGGCCGCAAGGUUAAAACUCAAAUGAAUUGACGGGGGCCCGCACAAGCGGUGGAGCAUGUGGUUUAAUUCGAUGCAACGCGAAGAACCUUACCUGGUCUUGACAUCCACAGAACUUUCCAGAGAUGGAUUGGUGCCUUCGGGAACUGUGAGACAGGUGCUGCAUGGCUGUCGUCAGCUCNNNNNNNNNNNNNNNNNNNNGAGACUGCCAGUGAUAAACUGGAGGAAGGUGGGGAUGACGUCAAGUCAUCAUGGCCCUUACGACCAGGGCUACACACGUGCUACAAUGGCGCAUACAAAGAGAAGCGACCUCGCGAGAGCAAGCGGACCUCAUAAAGUGCGUCGUAGUCCGGAUUGGAGUCUGCAACUCGACUCCAUGAAGUCGGAAUCGCUAGUAAUCGUGGAUCAGAAUGCCACGGUGAAUACGUUCCCGGGCCUUGUACACACCGCCCGUCACACCAUGGGAGUGGGUUGCAAAAGAAGUAGGUAGCUUAACCUUCGGGAGGGCGCUUACCACUUUGUGAUUCAUGACUGGGGUGAAGUCGUAACAAGGUAACCGUAGGGGAACCUGCGGUUGGAUCACCUCCUUACCUUAAAGAAGC